Molecule: long non-coding RNA, 1294 nt
Filed under: Marmota monax (woodchuck)
Lineage: Eukaryota; Metazoa; Chordata; Mammalia; Rodentia; Sciuridae
Source: RNAcentral
CUUUAUCUGCGCCCCCCCACCUACCCCUCAGCGACUGUCCCAGCCCCUGUCACUGCUGUACUAUCUUCUACUCCCUGCCCGUGGUGGGGAUGACUUUUCUGCGCAACGUUGCUCCUGGGGAUCAUGCACCCGCAGGGAGCGUGACCCCUUUGCGCGUUGUGAGUGGGCUACUGUCCAAGGGACCCGAUCGGAACCCUCCUGUCUAGGAAUAGAUGGGCUUAUGAAAGUGGCUCCUCUUCUUUCUCGCUCCGCCUGCUGCCCGCACCUCUCUUUUAUCUCUACCCCACUGGAGGGUUUGUGAAGGCUGAGGCUGCCUUUGGGGACUCACAAAAGACCACAGGGGUGAUUCGAAGGGUGAAUAAGGAAACGAUUAUCAGCACACUAUCCGGCUAGAGGGAAAACCUGUGGGUUUGUUAGUUGUUGCUCAUGGGAUUCUUCUUUUUUUAUAGCCGGAUAGUGCUCUAGGCAGUCUGCGGAGGACCAGCAGUCAGCCUUCCCAUUUCUCCAGUUGGUAAAGUGGAAUAAGGAUAUAUCACCAACUAUGUUUUCUUGCUUCGUGUCCCCAAGCCAGAGACUUGCAACUCUGUCUCCUGGUGUUUGAGAUAGUUUGGGGGCUCUUGGCUACUCACUGUUGAGCACAUCUUUUUCAGGGGUUGGGUGUUGGGGUAGGAUGUCCUGGGUUGGAAGUUCAAAUAGUAGUGGGCAAUAAUUAUCUUCCCAGGGUGGAGUAGCCCUUCCUUUAAGAACACAAGACCCUGCAAAGGAGCCCAGAAAUUCUUCAUCAUUUGUUUGUUUCUGGGGCCAAGGAAAAUAUUGAGAACAUUUUGCUGCCCCACACACCCUUCCAGGACAUGUUGAUUGCCAACUGCUCUGUGCAACUUUUCUCCAGCUAUGUCUCUUCAAGCAAAGACCAAAAAGGAAAGCAAGAAAAAACUAUGAAAACAUUAUAAUAAAUGAUAAAAUUAAUGUCUUUGGUCCUCUCUUUGCAGUCUGUGUCCAUCCUCUGAAUCAUUGUUUUCUUUUUUCCUAUUAUCAUGGUUUUAGACAUAGCAAAACUACAACAUUUCCCCUACCUUCAAGAUUAACAAGGUGGAGCUGGGGAUAUGGCUCAAAGCGGUAGCUCGCUGGCCUGGCAUGCGCAGAGCGCUGGGUUCGAUCCUCAGCACCAUAUAAAAAUAAAGAUGUUGUGUCCACAGAAAACUAAAAAAAAAUAAAUAAAUAUUAAAAAAUUAUCUCUCAUAUAAGAUGGUGUGAGGAAGAGAGAGAGAGAGAGAGAGAGAGAGAGAGAGAAAAG